Molecule: ribosomal RNA, 1479 nt
Filed under: metagenome
Description: bacterial SSU rRNA
Rfam family: Bacterial small subunit ribosomal RNA
Source: RNAcentral
AGAGUUUGAUCCUGGCUCAGGAUUAACGCUAGCGGCAGGCCUAAUACAUGCAAGUCGAACGGUAACAGGUGUAGUAAUACAUGCUGACGAGUGGCGCACGGGUGCGUAACGCGUAUGCAACCUACCUAUAACUGGGGAAUCUCUCUUCGAAAGAAGAAUUAAUACCGCAUAAAAUUCUUGGGAGACAUCUCCCGAUUAUCAAAACUCCGGUGGUUAUAGAUGGGCAUGCGUGACAUUAGCUAGUUGGUGAGGUAACGGCCCACCAAGGCUACGAUGUCUAGGGGGUCUGAGAGGAUGAUCCCCCACACUGGUACUGAGACACGGACCAGACUCCUACGGGAGGCAGCAGUAAGGAAUAUUGGACAAUGGGGGCAACCCUGAUCCAGCCAUGCCGCGUGAAGGAUGAAGGCGCUCUGCGUUGUAAACUUCUUUUAUACGGGAAUAACACACGCUACGUGUAGCGUGCUGAAUGUACUGUAAGAAUAAGCAUCGGCUAACUUCGUGCCAGCAGCCGCGGUAAUACGAAGGAUGCAAGCGUUAUCCGGAUUUAUUGGGUUUAAAGGGUGCGUAGGCGGCUUACUAAGUCAGUGGUGAAAGCCCGGAGCUCAACUCCGGAAUUGCCAUUGAUACUGAUGAGCUUGAGUACACUUGAGGUAGGCGGAAUGUGUCAUGUAGCGGUGAAAUGCUUAGAUAUGACACAGAACACCGAUUGCGAAGGCAGCUUACUAAAGUGUAACUGACGCUGAGGCACGAAAGCGUGGGGAUCAAACAGGAUUAGAUACCCUGGUAGUCCACGCCCUAAACGAUGAUUACUCGUUGUUGGCGAUACACUGUCAGCGACUGAGCGAAAGCAUUAAGUAAUCCACCUGGGGAGUACGUCCGCAAGGAUGAAACUCAAAGAAUUGACGGGGGCCCGCACAAGCGGAGGAGCAUGUGGUUUAAUUCGAUGAUACGCGAGGAACCUUACCAGGGCUUGAAAGUUAAGGAAUGAUGUAGAAAUAUGUCAGUCAGCAAUGACCUGAAACUAGGUGCUGCAUGGCUGUCGUCAGCUCGUGCCGUGAGGUGUUGGGUUAAGUCCCGCAACGAGCGCAACCCCUAUCAUUAGUUGCUAACAGGUAAUGCUGAGGACUCUAAUGAGACUGCCCGCGCAAGCGGUGAGGAAGGUGGGGAUGACGUCAAGUCAUCACGGCCCUUACGUCCUGGGCUACACACGUGCUACAAUGGCCGGUACAGAGGGCAGCUACUUGGUAACAAGAUGCUAAUCCUUAAAGCCGGUCUCAGUUCGGAUUGAGGUCUGCAACUCGACCUCAUGAAGCUGGAUUCGCUAGUAAUCGUAGAUCAGCAAUGCUACGGUGAAUACGUUCCCGGGCCUUGUACACACUCCCGUCAAGCGAUGGAAGUUGGGAGUACCUAAAGUCGGUCACCGCAAGGAGCCGCCUAGGGUAAAACCGAUAACUGGCGCUAAGUCGUAACAAGGUA